RNAcentral lists this ribosomal RNA (279 nucleotides) under Triticum aestivum (bread wheat). RNAcentral describes it as "partial small subunit ribosomal RNA". The record is from RNAcentral. Lineage: Eukaryota; Viridiplantae; Streptophyta; Magnoliopsida; Poales; Poaceae.
UCGGAUGUAACUUUUCGAGUAGAUGAUUUUUCAUAUAAAAAACUUUUUCAUCCGAGUUCGUAUGCAAAAGUUAUGCCCAUUUUAAGAAUUUCCACAGAGAUUUUGCAAAUAAAGUCGAAAUUCAUAUUUGUUAAUUUUCCCAACAACUAGACCACAUAUCACAUGAGAAACUUAUUUUAUUUUAUUUUUUUGACAUUUCCAUCAUUUUCUUUUGUUUUUUCUAAAACUGAAAAGGCGAUCCGGGGGGGGUAGAGUUUGAAAAUGAGGCCUCAAAUCCCU